UGGGGGCAAUCUUGGAUUGUGGGGGAAACCCUGAUCCAGCAAUGCCGCGUGUGUGAAGAAGCCUUCGGGUUGUAAAGCACUUUCGAUAGGGAAGAAAAGCUGACCGUGAAUAACGGCCAGUCUUGACGUUACCUAGAGAAGAAGCACCGGCUAACUCUGUGCCAGCAGCCGCGGUAAUACAGAGGGUGCAAGCGUUAAUCGGAAUUACUGGGCGUAAAGCGCGCGUAGGCGGUUCGAUAAGUCGGGUGUGAAAGCCCCGGGCUCAACCUGGGAAUUGCAUUCGAUACUGUCGAGCUAGAGUAUGGUAGAGGAAAGCGGAAUUCCACAUGUAGCGGUGAAAUGCGUAGAUAUGUGGAGGAACAUCAGUGGCGAAGGCGGCUUUCUGGACCAAUACUGACGCUGAGGCGCGAAAGCGUGGGGAGCAAACAGGAUUAGAUACCCUGGUAGUCCACGCCGUAAACGAUGAGAACUAGGCGUUGGGAGGCGUGACCUCUUAGUGUCGAAGCUAACGCGAUAAGUUCUCCGCCUGGGGAGUACGGCCGCAAGGUUAAAACUCAAAGGAAUUGAGGGGACC
Molecule: ribosomal RNA, 574 nt
Filed under: uncultured bacterium
Lineage: Bacteria
Description: bacterial SSU rRNA
Rfam family: Bacterial small subunit ribosomal RNA
Source: RNAcentral